This 67-nucleotide transfer RNA is filed under the name Agrobacterium tumefaciens. Its description in RNAcentral is "tRNA-OTHER". Lineage: Bacteria; Pseudomonadati; Pseudomonadota; Alphaproteobacteria; Hyphomicrobiales; Rhizobiaceae. The record is from RNAcentral.
CAUAGCUCAGUAGGUAGAGCGCCUCCAAAACCGUCUAUGUUGGUUCAACUCCAUCUGCGCACCGCCA